AUGGAGGAGCCCCCCAGCAACAAGCGCCGCAACUACGGCCACUACCAUCAGGAGGAUGGCCCGACUCACUUCUGCAAGGUCAUCCUUGCACCGAAGCUUGAGUGCAUCCCUAUGCCCUUGGACUUCACCAAGCACUUCGUCGCGGUGCCGACGGAGUUCAAGCUCAGGAACAACACCGGCUGCUCCUGGAAGGUGACGGUGAAGCUGAUGAACGUCAGGGUGACCCUGGAUCAGGGUUGGGCCACCUACGCAGCCGUUCAUCAGAUCAAGAUCGGCUACAUGGUGACGUUCAAGCUCCUCACUCCCGACACCCUCAAGGUCAUCAUCUUCGAUGAGGAUGGCAUUGAGGUCGUCAACAAGUGCGGGAAGCACGACGAAGUCUUCGCCGCCAAGGAGUAG
RNAcentral lists this ribosomal RNA (399 nucleotides) under Triticum aestivum (bread wheat). RNAcentral's name for it is "partial small subunit ribosomal RNA". Lineage: Eukaryota; Viridiplantae; Streptophyta; Magnoliopsida; Poales; Poaceae. The record is from RNAcentral.